RNAcentral lists this ribosomal RNA (321 nucleotides) under uncultured eukaryote. RNAcentral's name for it is "partial 18S ribosomal RNA". It matches the Rfam family "Eukaryotic small subunit ribosomal RNA", at positions 1470 to 1796 of the family's 1831-position model. The record is from RNAcentral.
CCCUUAGAUGUUCUGGGCCGCACGCGCGCUACAAUGAUGCAGGCAACGAGUGCCGCUCCUUAGCCGAAAGGCUUGGGGAAUCUUGAAAACUGCAUCGUGCUAGGGAUAGAUGAUUGCAAUCGUGCAUCUUGAACGAGGAAUGCCUUGUAAGCGUGAGUCAUCAACUCGCGCUGAAUACGUCCCUGCCCUUUGUACACACCGCCCGUCGCUCCUACCGAUUGGAUGGUCCGGUGAAAUCUCGGGACGGCGGCUUGGUCGCUUGCGUCCGACUGCUGAAACUUGAUUAAACCAUAUCAUUUAGAGGAAGGUGAAGUCGUAACA